This 394-nucleotide ribosomal RNA is filed under the name uncultured bacterium. RNAcentral describes it as "partial 16S ribosomal RNA". It matches the Rfam family "Bacterial small subunit ribosomal RNA", at positions 523 to 918 of the family's 1533-position model. The record is from RNAcentral.
AUACGUAGGGGGCGAGCGUUGUCCGGAAUGAUUGGGCGUAAAGGGCGCGUAGGCGGCGCGGUAAGUCUGGAGUGAAAGUCCUGCUUUCAAGGUGGGAAUUGCUUUGGAUACUGCCGCGCUUGAGUGCAGGAGAGGUUAACGGAAUUCCCGGUGUAGCGGUGAAAUGCGUAGAGAUCGGGAGGAACACCAGCGGCGAAGGCGGGUAACUGGACUGCAACUGACGCUGAGGCGCGAAAGUGUGGGGAGCAAACAGGAUUAGAUACCCUGGUAGUCCACGCCCUAAACGAUGUCAACUGGUGUUGGGUCUUCACUGACUCAGUAACGAAGCUAACGCGUGAAGUUGACCGCCUGGGGAGUACGGCCGCAAGGCUGAAACUCAAAUGAAUUGGCGGGG